Molecule: unclassified non-coding RNA, 352 nt
Filed under: soil metagenome
Description: partial contains 5.8S ribosomal RNA, internal transcribed spacer 2, and large subunit ribosomal RNA
Rfam family: 5.8S ribosomal RNA (bases 1-120)
Source: RNAcentral
GAUGAAGAACGUAGCGAAAUGCGAUAAGUAAUGUGAAUUGCAGAAUUCAGUGAAUCAUCGAAUCUUUGAACGCACAUUGCGCCCGCCAGUAUUCUGGCGGGCAUGCCUGUUCGAGCGUCAUUACAACCCUCAGGCCCCCGGGCCUGGCGUUGGGGAUCGGCGGAGCCCCCCGUGGGCACACGCCGUCCCCCAAAUACAGUGGCGGUCCCGCCGCAGCUUCCAUCGCGUAGUAGCUAACACCUCGCGACUGGAGAGCGGCGCGGCCACGCCGUAAAACACCCAACUCUUCUGAAGUUGACCUCGAAUCAGGUAGGAAUACCCGCUGGACUUAAGCAUAUCAAUAAGCGGAGGA